Brienomyrus brachyistius is the source of this 1152-nucleotide long non-coding RNA. RefSeq lists it as uncharacterized. The record is from RefSeq and is a predicted model, not a curated record. Lineage: Eukaryota; Metazoa; Chordata; Actinopteri; Osteoglossiformes; Mormyridae. The transcript is spliced from 3 exons.
ACGUCGUUACGUAAACGUACUUGCGUGUUCCGCAGCUCGUGCCGACGUUUCAAAGCCCGCCCACCUAUAUGUUCUCUGGACGCUGCCGAAACGUCAUUGCAGCGGGAGCGCAGCAUAUUACAAGCUUCCGGAAGAACACUUCUGCCCAGAAACACGUUUAGAUUCAUACAGUGGAGUCUUUUUAUUGGGGAUGGGAGGAGGUCUGAGUCAUACUGGGCAAGAGAAGGCCCCUCCCGCCCAGCCUAGCAGGGUGUGCACCAACACUUUCCCCAGCACAGUGCCCGUGGAGCGCCCCCCACAGGCUGCCGGUGACUUGCCCCAGUGCAAGAUGGGGAGCAAAGUGGUGGAUGAUAUGUGUUUCAUGAUCUCUUGUACAAAUUGGUAUUAGAACCACUGAGCGUUUACAGCACGAAUGUCCCGAAGCUGGUGGGCUGUGACUGAAAUGCAUUUCCAUGUGAAUGCCUAAGUGCAGGUUUAUUCAUUUGAUUGAGUUUAUUUUUGUUCCUUUCAUAGAUUCUCCCCAUGAGGAAUGCAUCUUACAACCUUAGCCUUGAAUAUCCACAAUGUGUGCUGACUUUUGUUCUAAUUAACUCUGAAUUGGGUGUUGAUCAGUAUUAUUAAUUCAAUAGGCACAAUCAAAGAGGAAAUGCAUUUCCAUACAAGGAGUAGCCGCUUUUGAUUAUUCUGUGGACAUAUGUUUCUUUGUGAUCCCGCGUACAGCAAAUAAUUGUGUGAAAUGCAGUUUCUUUAGUUGCGUCCUACUGCAUGCUGCUAUCCAGUCUUUGUCAGACUUAAUCAAUUACAUUUAUAAUGGAAAUCAAGAAACUCUUGUCCGCCUUAUAUUUGUUUUCCUACAGCCAAUUUUCAUCUUCUACCACGGCUGUCUUUCAUCCUUUAUCCCAGUUAACAACAUGGGUGGUUGCAACCCGUAAAUAAUGCAUGUUACUGGCAUCGUAUAUUUAAACUUGAAAAAUGUCCCUGACACAAGACACUAGUAUGUAGGUAGUCACGUGACUUGCACGUCCGCAUGUAUUAUAGAAAAAAGGCUGCGUCCAACUUGAUUAUUUUAUUAACAUUUCCUUUUAAAAUACAACAUGGUGAAAUUGUUAUACACAGUGUGGAUUUCUUAAAGAAAUAAAAUGGUAAACAAAA